GACGAACGCUGGCGGCGUGCCUAACACAUGCAAGUCGAACGGAACUGUUUGAAAGAUUUCUUCGGAAUGAAUUUGAUUUAGUUUAGUGGCGGACGGGUGAGUAACGCGUGAGUAACCUGCCUUCAAGAGGGGGAUAACAUUCUGAAAAGGAUGCUAAUACCGCAUGAUAUAUCGGAAUCACAUGAUUUUGAUAUCAAAGAUUUAUCGCUUGAAGAUGGACUCGCGUCCGAUUAGUUAGUUGGUGAGGUAACGGCUCACCAAGACCGCGAUCGGUAGCCGGACUGAGAGGUUGAACGGCCACAUUGGGACUGAGACACGGCCCAGACUCCUACGGGAGCAGCAGUGGGGGAUA
This 352-nucleotide ribosomal RNA is filed under the name uncultured bacterium. RNAcentral's name for it is "bacterial SSU rRNA". It matches the Rfam family "Bacterial small subunit ribosomal RNA", at positions 28 to 363 of the family's 1533-position model. The record is from RNAcentral.